UUCGUUUCUCUUCCUUGAGCUUCUUUUUGGAGACUUUGGGUCUAUUGGCCUUUCUGUAUAGGUGAUACCCAAUGAGGCCCAGGAGGGCUGGCACCAUGGCCAUCCCUACCAGAGGCAAAAUGCCCUUCACCAGCUUUAGCCAGUAGUUGGCUCGGAUUAGUGCAAUCAGCUCCACGUCAUACUGCACCACUGCAUCCGCUGGAGAGGCAGAGGGGUGGAGAGGGUUAGACUCUCUGCAUUUUAUCCAGGGCUCAGAAUCUGAAUGAAAAUAGGGAGCGUAGGCCACAGCAAAGCCAACAACUAUGAAGCUGACAAGAUUUAAAUGUGGGCUUGAAUUCCUUUAGACAAGAGUAGAGGAGGAUUUACGAGCAGAGUCCAGUGAUAAUCAUGUUGACCCCAACUACACAUGUGGCUUGGGUCCAGUGACAAGUCUUUGAAUGCAGGAAAACUUUCUGUGAAUAUGAAAUGUACAGGCUCUUCUCCAUUUGUAAGUGGGAGAACCCUCUAUACUAACUACUAAUUUAUUGUAUUUCCAAAUAACCACACGGAUAGAGUCUUUGCAGGGCUGAAAUUAAAUGGAUUUAAACUAGACUUUAAAAAAUCAACCAACCAAUGAGCACAUUCAACGUGAUUAUGAGAUAACAGGAGUUUCAACAUAAGAGCUGAAGAGGAAGAAGGAUGAGGAUGCUGCUUAAGAAGUAAAGGGGCCUUCCUCUAAGCUGGAACUGGGAUAAGAAUUACGAGCCCAGCCAGGCGCGGUGGCUCAUGCCUGUAAUCCCAGCACUUUGGGAAGCCAAGGCAGGUGGAUCACCUGAGGUUGGGAGUUUGAGACCAGCCUGACCAACAUGGAGAAGCCCCAUCUCUACUAAAAGUAUAAAAUUAGCUGGUCGUGGUGGCGCAUGCCUGUAAUCCCAGCUAGUCGGGAGGCUGAGACAGGAGAAUCGCUUGAACCCAGGUGGCGGAGGUUGUGGUGAGUGAAGAUUGCACUAUUGCACUCCAGCCUGGGCAACAAGAGUGAAACUCCAUCUCAAAAAAAAAAAAAGAAGAAUUACGAGCCCAAUACUCUGUGGAGUACAACACAUUUUAGCUAAUAGAACAUUUGUUAGAACUGAAAGCAAAAGAUAUGCAUCUUGGGAAAUCUGUCCAUCUCAACCCUUCAAAAAUAGACAUCGGCAGUGACCAAUGAUGGCUUUUAAAGUUAUGGGGCAGACUUGGCUUUAACAGUUGCUUUUUGUUUUGUUUUGAAUCACUUGACUGUGAUUAUUUUUACUGUCUCUUCCCUGAUGGAGGCUGAAAGGAAGGGGUGGGGGGGUGGCUGUACAGCUG
Molecule: long non-coding RNA, 1326 nt
Filed under: Pan troglodytes (chimpanzee)
Lineage: Eukaryota; Metazoa; Chordata; Mammalia; Primates; Hominidae
Description: long non-coding RNA NONPTRT003909
Source: RNAcentral